GGGGUGAGCUGAACUGUCGCCAGUAUGACUGGAGGAAAGUCCGGGCUCGGGAUGGUGCAGUGCCGGUUAAUAACCGGAAAUUCCAGGUUAUCUGGAAUGAUAGCUAGCGCAACAGAAAGAUACCGCCACCUUAUGGAUAGCAUAAGGUGGUAAGGGUGAAAUGGCGGGGUAAGAGCCCACCACAUUGCUUGCAAAAGUAAUGGUAUGGCAAGCCUCACUGCGAGCAAGCUCAAACAGUAUGUGUAUUACCAGUACAGUGUCUUUAUUCUUGUAAGGAUGCGACAUACGGGUCGGGCGCGAGACAUUGUCUAAAUAGCAAUGCAAGAUAGAUGACAGUUGCAGUGUUAUACUGAACAGGACCCGGCUUAUAGGCUCACCCCUUUU
This 384-nucleotide RNase P RNA is filed under the name Spirochaetes bacterium GWB1_60_80. Its description in RNAcentral is "RNase P RNA component class A". It matches the Rfam family "Bacterial RNase P class A". Rfam says of the family: Ribonuclease P (RNase P) is a ubiquitous endoribonuclease, found in archaea, bacteria and eukarya as well as chloroplasts and mitochondria. Its best characterised activity is the generation of mature 5'-ends of tRNAs by cleaving the 5'-leader elements of precursor-tRNAs. Cellular RNase Ps are ribonucleoproteins. Lineage: Bacteria; Pseudomonadati; Spirochaetota. The record is from RNAcentral. RNAcentral also lists the same sequence under 4 other names.